AUCUGGAACGCUCAGCGCCUAGCAGUACGGUUCGUUAGCCCAGGUUAGCUCUGGGGGUGGGAAUCGGGCAUGUCAUCUGGGGGAACCCAGUAAGAGUAAUAAUGGUGAUAUUUUAGUGCUUAAUAUGAAGCCACACACCAUUCCAAACUCCGUACUGUCCCGGACACUGGGACGACUGUACAAAGAGAAGAUAAAACCCCAAACUGCCUCUUGCAUCCAGGCAGACCCGAAAAAAAAUCAAAUCCCAGAAACUUCGCGGACACCGGGGACUGUGAGGCUCUGUGUCGAGCUACGGGAUAAUCAAAUCGGACAGAGUCCUGGUCCCAGAGGGGAUCACAAUCUCAAGGCUUCAUCCAUCCGCAACCGAAACCAAAAGUUUUCUCAUCCCAGGAGGGCUAAGAAAAAGGAACGGGAUGCAAGCGGGGACCGUGACCACACGAAGGUGAUGUUCCACCCAAGCAAGGGAUGCAUGGUGGAGCUGCAGAUAAAACCCUAAUUGCACACUUUCUCCUACUUCAUUUGUGUAAAAUUUUCCAUCUGCUCCAUCUAAAGAUGUCUAAACUGUUAGUAUCAAACCUGCA
Ornithorhynchus anatinus (platypus) is the source of this 581-nucleotide long non-coding RNA. RefSeq lists it as uncharacterized. NCBI's taxonomy places the organism in Eukaryota, Metazoa, Chordata, Mammalia, Monotremata, Ornithorhynchidae. The transcript is spliced from 2 exons. The record is from RefSeq and is a predicted model, not a curated record.